Molecule: transfer RNA, 92 nt
Filed under: Propionibacterium freudenreichii
Lineage: Bacteria; Bacillati; Actinomycetota; Actinomycetes; Propionibacteriales; Propionibacteriaceae
Also listed under: 1 other name
Description: tRNA-Ala(agc)
Source: RNAcentral
GCCGGUGGUGGUGGAGGCCUGGCACGACAUCCGCCAGCGUCGGAUGAGCAUGGAACUGUCCAUGCUGCUGGCGAUCAUCGCCGCCGGCGUCA